Non-coding RNA from Ovis aries (sheep), 134 nucleotides. The record is from Rfam. NCBI's taxonomy places the organism in Eukaryota, Metazoa, Chordata, Mammalia, Artiodactyla, Bovidae.
UAGGCACUAAUUUUGGCCAAGAGCCUGUGAGUAAAAAGGCUGGAGAUAUAUAUGUAUGUAUAUAUAUAUAUAUAUACAUACAUAUAUAUCUCCAGCCUUUUUACUCACAGGCUCUUGGCCAAAAUUAGUGCCAC